GACGAACGCUGGCGGCGUGCUUAACACAUGCAAGUCGAGCGACUGCAUUCUUUUCGGAGGGUGUAUGGAGCGGCGAACGGGUGAGUAACACGUGAGUAAUCUGCCUUUGGCUUGGGAAUAACUUCGGGAAAUCGGGGCUAAUGCCUGAUGUUUACUGUCUGCUGCAUGGUGGGUGGUGGAAAGAUUUUUUGGCCAGGGAUGAGCUCGCGGUCUAUCAGCUUGUGGUGGGGUAAUGGCUUACCAAGGCUUUGACGGGUAGCCGGCCUGAGAGGGUGUUCGGCCACACUGGGACUGAGACACGGCCCAGACUCCUACGGGAGGCAGCAGUGGGGAAUAUUGCGCAAUGGGCGUAAGCCUGACGCAGCGACGCCGCGU
This 375-nucleotide ribosomal RNA is filed under the name uncultured bacterium. Its description in RNAcentral is "bacterial SSU rRNA". It matches the Rfam family "Bacterial small subunit ribosomal RNA", at positions 28 to 402 of the family's 1533-position model. The record is from RNAcentral.